UCUCAAAUUCCUGACCUGAAGUGAUCCACUCGCCUUGGCCUCCCAAAGUGCUUCGAUUACAGGCGUGAGCUACCGCGCCUGGCCAAAAACUUUUAUAUGAUCUCUCCAGAGAGGCAGUAUGCCACGGUGGCUCAGAGUCUCUGUCGUGUGCCGUACUCCUCUGUGUGACCUCGGAGAAGUUGCUUAACCACUUGGUGCCUCAGUUUCUUCAUCCAUAAAAUGGAUGGACAGCACUGCUUGACCGUGCUGGGUGUGAGGGUUGCCUGAGCUCAUACGUGUAAAGUGGUUAAAACCAUUGUUGCCACAUACCGUGCCUUCCAGUACCACCUGUCAUCAUCAUCCAUUUUCUCAACGUUACAACAAACGGUGGCCACAGUGUCCACAGGGGAGAUGUUUUCUUGUCUUAUUUUCUAGAUGUGAAUGAACUGAAGGAGUGUCUUUCUGUGCUGGUUAAAGAGCAGCAGGCCCUGGCCGUCCAGUCCGCCGCCACCACCCUCUCAGCCCCGAGACUCCAGCACAGGCUGCUGAUCUUGGAGCGCUGUUUCAUUGCCUUGAAUAGAACCGUUUUUCAGGAGAAUGUCAAAGUUAAGUGGAAAAGCAGCAGCAUUUCUCUGCCUCUUGUAGAGAAAAAAAGAGAUGCUUCUGGGCCAGGCACGGUGGCUCACACCUGUAAUCCCAGCACUUUGGGAGGCCAAGGCAGGCAGAUCACGUGAGGUCAGGAGUUCGAGAUCUGACCAACAUGGAGAAACCUCGUGUCUACUAAAAUUAAAAAAUCACCUGGGACGUGGUGGCGCAUGCCUGUAAUCCCAGCGACUCAGGAGGCUGAGGCAGGAGAAUGGCAUGAACCCAGGAGGCAGGGGUUGUGGUGAGUAGAGAUUGCGCCAAUGGACUCCAGCCUGGGCAACAAGAAUGAAACCCCAUCUCAAAAAGAGAGAGAGAGAAAAAAAGAUGCUUUUGGGCAUAUGAGUUUUAAUGUGUUGAUGCCUGUUAAUAUAUCACAGAUUUCCUCUAUUUGCUAACAGCCACUAGAAUGUUUAAGGCUUAUGUAAAAU
Molecule: long non-coding RNA, 1052 nt
Filed under: Cercocebus atys (sooty mangabey)
Lineage: Eukaryota; Metazoa; Chordata; Mammalia; Primates; Cercopithecidae
Description: lncRNA (ENSCATG00000045464.1)
Source: RNAcentral